This is a long non-coding RNA of Nilaparvata lugens (brown planthopper), 271 nucleotides long. RefSeq lists it as uncharacterized. The transcript has 2 exons. The record is from RefSeq and is a predicted model, not a curated record. NCBI's taxonomy places the organism in Eukaryota, Metazoa, Arthropoda, Insecta, Hemiptera, Delphacidae.
GCAGGCUCUAUCUUGAAAUAGUAGAUGCUCCUCCAGUGCUCGAUUUGGAUUUUCUAUCAAUACUAAGCUUGAAGUUGAACUGGUUUGUCGCCGCUUCAACGGAACUUGCUAUUAUACCACACAACCAAGAACAUCUCCAUCUAUUUCACUUGACUAUUCCGUAUGGAUUGGUGAUUUAUACACUUUGACUGUUCUGUACUGUAUGGAAUUUGAGUAUUCAUAAGAAUGACUUGUCUUAUACUCCCUCAUGGAGUCUCCAAGACGAAAUCUU